CUUACCCUGCUUGGUGCGUGAGCGGAUUUUGUUAUUAACCCACAAUUAAUAACAAAAGGGAAGCGUAUUCAAUGGUGGUUUGCAGGCCUCCCGAUGCAUUCUGCGUUGGAUGUUGGAAGCAGUGAUACCGGAGAGAGCAUCCCGCCCUACAAUAGUAGGUUAUUAAUUCUGUUCGCCACGGCCAAAGUGGGGGAUGU
RNAcentral lists this non-coding RNA (197 nucleotides) under Oscillospiraceae bacterium. RNAcentral describes it as "6S RNA". It matches the Rfam family "6S / SsrS RNA". Rfam says of the family: E. coli 6S RNA was the first non coding RNA to be sequenced, but its function was unknown until recently. It consists of 184 nucleotides that fold into an extended hairpin structure with a large single-stranded internal bulge. The record is from RNAcentral. Lineage: Bacteria; Bacillati; Bacillota; Clostridia; Eubacteriales; Oscillospiraceae.